CCUACGGGUGGCACCAGUGGGGAAUAUUGGACAAUUGGCGCAAGCCUGAUCCAGCCAUGCCGCGUGAGUGAUGAAGGCCUUAGGGUUGUAAAGCUCUUUCACCUGGGAAGAUAAUGACGGUACCAGGAGAAGAAGCCCCGGCUAACUUCGUGCCAGCAGUCGCGGUAAUACGAAGGGGUCUAGCGUUGUUCGGAAUCACUGGGCGUAAAGCGCACGUAGGCGGAUUGAUAAGUCAGGGGUGAAAUCCCGGGGCUCAACCUCGGAACUGCCCUUGAUACUGUUAGUCUUGAGUUCGGGAGAGGUGAGUGGAACUCCGAGUGUAGAGGUGAAAUUCGUAGAUAUUCGGAAGAACACCAGUGGCGAAGGCGGCUCACUGGCCCGAUACUGACGCUGAGGUGCGAAAGCGUGGGGAGCAAACAGGAUUAGAUACCCCCGUAGUC
Molecule: ribosomal RNA, 440 nt
Filed under: uncultured bacterium
Lineage: Bacteria
Description: bacterial SSU rRNA
Rfam family: Bacterial small subunit ribosomal RNA
Source: RNAcentral